AAAUUGAAGAGUUUGAUCAUGGCUCAGAUUGAACGCUGGCGGCAGGCCUAACACAUGCAAGUCGAGCGGUAGCACAGAGAGCUUGCUCUCGGGUGACGAGCGGCGGACGGGUGAGUAAUGUCUGGGAAGCUGCCUGAUGGAGGGGGAUAACUACUGGAAACGGUAGCUAAUACCGCAUAACGUCGCAAGACCAAAGUGGGGGACCUUCGGGCCUCAUGCCAUCAGAUGUGCCCAGAUGGGAUUAGCUAGUAGGUGGGGUAACGGCUCACCUAGGCGACG
This 279-nucleotide ribosomal RNA is filed under the name Klebsiella pneumoniae. RNAcentral's name for it is "partial 16S ribosomal RNA". It matches the Rfam family "Bacterial small subunit ribosomal RNA", at positions 1 to 278 of the family's 1533-position model. Lineage: Bacteria; Pseudomonadati; Pseudomonadota; Gammaproteobacteria; Enterobacterales; Enterobacteriaceae. The record is from RNAcentral.